CACCAGGGCCGCUCGGUAGGCUCGGCUCCUCGUCCUCCCCUUCCCUCCCUCCCCCGCGGCCCCCCGCCGGGAAUGACCUUCUAUCUGCCGGCCCUCUGAGACACCAGCCGCCGCCUCCCCAGAACCACCACCACCACCACCACCACCACCACCGGACGAUGGCCAAGUCCAAGAAGGCGAGCAGCAAGAGCUGCAAGCACCAGAAGCCACCCAGUCGGCGGAACAUCAAGCAGGGCAAGCCGUGCCGGAAGAUGAAGAAGAGGAAAGGGUACGUCCGGAUCUGCACCACCUACUACUACCGGAAGAGAUGAGCAACCUCCACGUCGGCCGGCGCCUCACCCUCUGGGCAGUCGCCCCGGGGUGCAGAGUCGGGGAGGCCUGCGACGCCCCUCACCGAACGCCAACCCUCCCCGGCCGGCCGCCAUCCUCCACCACGACCACCAGCUUCUGGGGAACCAGUUCCAUCCAACCAAGAUUCCAGAGAGAUCCACCGGCUGCAGAUAGAGUCGGGAUAAGAUCUUGGAGCCUCCCCCUACCCUUAGAGCGAUGCCGGACUUCUCAAUAAAUCCCUAAAAGGCA
This is a long non-coding RNA of Tachyglossus aculeatus (Australian echidna), 579 nucleotides long. RefSeq lists it as uncharacterized. The record is from RefSeq and is a predicted model, not a curated record. The transcript is spliced from 2 exons. NCBI's taxonomy places the organism in Eukaryota, Metazoa, Chordata, Mammalia, Monotremata, Tachyglossidae.